RNAcentral lists this ribosomal RNA (465 nucleotides) under Vreelandella stevensii. RNAcentral's name for it is "partial 16S ribosomal RNA". It matches the Rfam family "Bacterial small subunit ribosomal RNA", at positions 338 to 795 of the family's 1533-position model. Lineage: Bacteria; Pseudomonadati; Pseudomonadota; Gammaproteobacteria; Oceanospirillales; Halomonadaceae. The record is from RNAcentral.
CCUACGGGGGGCAGCAGUGGGGAAUAUUGGACAAUGGGGGCAACCCUGAUCCAGCCAUGCCGCGUGUGUGAAGAAGGCCCUCGGGUUGUAAAGCACUUUCAGUGAGGAAGAACGCCUGGUGGUUAAUACCCAUCAGGAAAGACAUCACUCACAGAAGAAGCACCGGCUAACUCCGUGCCAGCAGCCGCGGUAAUACGGAGGGUGCGAGCGUUAAUCGGAAUUAUUGGGCGUAAAGCGCGCGUAGGUGGCUUGAUAAGCCGGUUGUGAAAGCCCCGGGCUCAACCUGGGAACGGCAUCCGGAACUGUCAAGCUAGAGUGCAGGAGAGGAAGGUAGAAUUCCCGGUGUAGCGGUGAAAUGCGUAGAGAUCGGGAGGAAUACCAGUGGCGAAGGCGGCCUUCUGGACUGACACUGACACUGAGGUGCGAAAGCGUGGGUAGCAAACAGGAUUAGAUACCCGGGUAGUC